UCUAAUAUGGCAGAAUAAUGCACUGGUCUUAAACUCCAUUUAUAAAGAUUUUUCUUUUUUUAGAA
This 65-nucleotide transfer RNA is filed under the name Lithax obscurus. RNAcentral describes it as "tRNA-Leu". It matches the Rfam family "tRNA". Rfam says of the family: Transfer RNA (tRNA) molecules are approximately 80 nucleotides in length. Their secondary structure includes four short double-helical elements and three loops (D, anti-codon, and T loops). Further hydrogen bonds mediate the characteristic L-shaped molecular structure. tRNAs have two regions of fundamental functional importance: the anti-codon, which is responsible for specific mRNA codon recognition, and the 3' end, to which the tRNAs corresponding amino acid is attached (by aminoacyl-tRNA synthetases). tRNAs cope with the degeneracy of the genetic code in two manners: having more than one tRNA (with a specific anti-codon) for a particular amino acid; and 'wobble' base-pairing, i.e. permitting non-standard base-pairing at the 3rd anti-codon position. The record is from RNAcentral. Lineage: Eukaryota; Metazoa; Arthropoda; Insecta; Trichoptera; Goeridae.